This 77-nucleotide transfer RNA is filed under the name Candidatus Uhrbacteria bacterium. RNAcentral's name for it is "tRNA-Ile". It matches the Rfam family "tRNA". From Rfam's summary of the family: Transfer RNA (tRNA) molecules are approximately 80 nucleotides in length. Their secondary structure includes four short double-helical elements and three loops (D, anti-codon, and T loops). Further hydrogen bonds mediate the characteristic L-shaped molecular structure. tRNAs have two regions of fundamental functional importance: the anti-codon, which is responsible for specific mRNA codon recognition, and the 3' end, to which the tRNAs corresponding amino acid is attached (by aminoacyl-tRNA synthetases). tRNAs cope with the degeneracy of the genetic code in two manners: having more than one tRNA (with a specific anti-codon) for a particular amino acid; and 'wobble' base-pairing, i.e. permitting non-standard base-pairing at the 3rd anti-codon position. The record is from RNAcentral. Lineage: Bacteria; Candidatus Uhriibacteriota.
GGGUGUGUAGCUCAGGUGGUUAGAGCGCAGUCCUGAUAAGACUGAGGUCCCCGGUUCGAGUCCAGGCACACCCACCA